RNAcentral lists this long non-coding RNA (438 nucleotides) under Pogona vitticeps (central bearded dragon). RNAcentral's name for it is "lncRNA (ENSPVIG00000004603.1)". Lineage: Eukaryota; Metazoa; Chordata; Lepidosauria; Squamata; Agamidae. The record is from RNAcentral.
GUUGGGAUCUGUUUCCAAACCAGAAUGGAAGUUUGCCUGUGAUUUAACAGUAUCAAGUCUUCUGGAACAAAGAGCAUUAUCUUGUAAAUCAAGACUGAUCUGAAAUACUACUCCAACCACCACCCUCUUCGUCGCCAUACUUGGUCACAAUGGUGGGCUUGUCUGAAACUGGAGAGUACAGAAUAUGCCACCGUCGCUGCCUAUGUGUCUUGUGAAUGGAGGUGUCCAUUGCUGAAUCAACCUAACAGGCAGGGUCUGGAAAAGUUACUCUUUUGGACCACAACGCUGACAGUUCCUACCACCUGGGGAUUGUGGGAGUUGUAGUCCCACCUGCAAACCCUUCUGAAGCUCUGCUAACCAGCUACUUGUGCUAACAUGCAUUCCUGACAGACAGCGCUUUGUAAUAAAACAUGUGGUCUGAUUGUUCCUUUAAAUGAA